GUCUUGUGUUAGAUGAUUGCGCUUCGCCUUCGGGCGUAGUGAGGAAAGUCCGAACACUUACUUCGGCUUAGGCUGAGGUUAAAAUGGUAGCGGGUAACGCCCGCCUGUCCCGCUUAGCGGGACACGAGGUGAGAACAGACACGACCCGGUUAAGUCCGGCUGAAACGGCAAAAUCCUUACCCAAGUGCAAGGCCGUAUCGGUGCGUAGCACCGGACAUAUCGAUAUAUCGACAUUUCGAUAUUUCCGUUGCUGCGCAACGGGGUGCCGCUUGAGCUUAAUGGCAACAUUAAGCCUAGAUAAAUAGUCAUCGUCUUGGCGUAAGUCAAGAUACAGAAUUCGGCUUAUAGACAUAAGACAAAA
Molecule: RNase P RNA, 361 nt
Filed under: bacterium
Lineage: Bacteria
Description: RNase P RNA component class A
Rfam family: Bacterial RNase P class A
About the family: Ribonuclease P (RNase P) is a ubiquitous endoribonuclease, found in archaea, bacteria and eukarya as well as chloroplasts and mitochondria. Its best characterised activity is the generation of mature 5'-ends of tRNAs by cleaving the 5'-leader elements of precursor-tRNAs. Cellular RNase Ps are ribonucleoproteins.
Source: RNAcentral